GGUAUUAUAGCCUAACGGUAAGGCACUUCACUGUUAAUGAAUGUAUAGGUGUUCGAUUCACCUUAAUACCU
This 71-nucleotide transfer RNA is filed under the name Clavulina sp. RNAcentral's name for it is "tRNA-Asn". It matches the Rfam family "tRNA". Rfam says of the family: Transfer RNA (tRNA) molecules are approximately 80 nucleotides in length. Their secondary structure includes four short double-helical elements and three loops (D, anti-codon, and T loops). The record is from RNAcentral. Lineage: Eukaryota; Fungi; Basidiomycota; Agaricomycetes; Cantharellales; Hydnaceae.